UACGUAGGGUGCAAGCGUUUGUCCGGAAUUAUUGGGCGUAAAGAGCUCGUAGGCGGUUUGUUGCGUCGGCUGUGAAAUCCCGAGGCUCAACCUCGGGUCUGCAGUCGAUACGAGCAAACUAGAGUGUUGCAGGGGAGACUGGAAUUCCUGGUGUAGCGGUGAAAUGCGCAGAUAUCAGGAGGAACACCGGUGGCGAAGGCGGGUCUCUGGGCAUUAACUGACGCUGAGGAGCGAAAGCAUGGGGAGCGAACAGG
RNAcentral lists this ribosomal RNA (254 nucleotides) under uncultured bacterium. RNAcentral's name for it is "partial 16S ribosomal RNA". It matches the Rfam family "Bacterial small subunit ribosomal RNA", at positions 524 to 776 of the family's 1533-position model. The record is from RNAcentral.